UGAGUACGAGAGGCUACGGCCUCGAAGCAGUCUAUGUCAUACUUCCAAGAAAAGCUUGCAAUGUCAUGAACACAAUGUCAUAAACAAAUAAUGCCUGUACCAUAACCGACACAGGUGGGUAGGUAGAGUAUACUAAGGGGCGCGAGAUAACUCUCUCUAAGGAACUCGGCAAAAUGACUCCGUAACUUCGGGAGAAGGAGUGCCUUAUUUAUAAGGUUGCAAUAACAAGAUCCAAGCAACUGUUUACCAAAAACACAGGUCUCCGCUAAGUCGUAAGACGAUGUAUGGGGGCUGACGCCUGCCCAGUGCCAGAAGGUUAAAGAAGUUGGUUAGCAUUCGCGAAGCUGAUAACUGAAGCCCUGGUGAACGGCGGCCGUAACAAUAACGGUCCUAAGGUAGCGAAAUUCCUUGUCGGGUAAGUUCCGACCCGCACGAAAGGCGUAAUGAUUUGGAUACUGUCUCGGAGAGAGGCUCGGUGAAAUAGACUUGUCUGUGAAGAUGCGGACUACCUGCACCUGGACAGAAAGACCCUAUGAAGCUUUACUGUAACUUGAAAUUGAAAUUGGACUUUAUUUGCGCAGUAUUGGUGGGAGGCGUUGAUAGUAUUCUUGCGGGAAUAUUGGAGCCAUCAGUGAGAUACCACUCUUGUAAUGUUAGAUUUCUAACUUUGUAUCAUUAUCUGGUCAAAGGACAGUUUCAGGCGGGCAGUUUGACUGGGGCGGUCGCCUCCCAAACGGUAACGGAGGCGUACAAAGGUUUCCUCUGAACGGGUAGAAAUCGUAUCUAGAGUGUAAAGGCAUAAGGAAGCUUGACUGUGAGACCUACAAGUCGAGCAGGGACGAAAGUCGGUCUUAGUGAUCUGACGGUGCUGAGUGGAAAGGCCGUCACUCAACGGAUAAAAGUUACUCUAGGAUAACAGGCUGAUCUCCCCCAAGAGUUCACAUCGACGGGGAGGUUUGGCACCUCGAUGUCGGCUCAUCGCAUCCUGGGGCGGUAGUACGUCCCAAGGGUUGGGCUGUUCGCCCAUGAAAGCGGUACGCGAGCUGGGUUCAGAACGUCGUGAGACAGUUCGGUCCAUAUCCGGUGUAGGCGUUAGAAUAUUGAGAGGAGCCUUCUUUAGUACGAGAGGACCGAGAAGGACAUACCUCUGGUGUACCAGUUAUCGUGCCAACGGUAAACGCUGGUAGCUAUGUAUGGAGAGGAUAACCGCUGAAAGCAUCUAAGUGGGAAGCCCACCUCAAGAUAAGUAUUCU
This 1253-nucleotide ribosomal RNA is filed under the name metagenome. RNAcentral's name for it is "bacterial LSU rRNA". It matches the Rfam family "Bacterial large subunit ribosomal RNA", at positions 1564 to 2814 of the family's 2925-position model. The record is from RNAcentral.